GUCCACGCCGUAAACGAUGGAUGCUAGCCGUGGGGUCCUUAGGGCUCGGUGGCGCAGCUAACGCGUUAAGCAUCCCGCCUGGGGAGUACGGUCGCAAGAUUAAAACUCAAAGGAAUUGACGGGGACCCGCACAAGCGGUGGAGCAUGUGGUUUAAUUCGAGGCAACGCGAAGAACCUUACCAGGCCUUGACAUGUCCAGUAUGGGGAUCAGAGACGAUCUCCUUCAGUUUGGCUGGCUGGAACACAGGUGCUGCAUGGCUGUCGU
RNAcentral lists this ribosomal RNA (265 nucleotides) under uncultured bacterium. RNAcentral's name for it is "partial 16S ribosomal RNA". It matches the Rfam family "Bacterial small subunit ribosomal RNA", at positions 793 to 1055 of the family's 1533-position model. The record is from RNAcentral.